CACAUCUCUACCUUUUGAGAGGUGGCCUCUCACUGAGCCUGAAAUACACUGACUAGCUACAAAGACUGGCCAGAGAGUUCCAGGAAUCCUCCUGUCUCUGACCCUAUAGUGGUGGGGUUACAUGCAUGUGCUGCAGCACCUGGAGUUUUAGGUGGGUACUGGGAAUCUGAACUCAGGUCUUUAGGUCUGCCCAUGCUGUCUCUCCAGCCCCUGUUCUGUAUUACCAGAGGCGUGGGAGAGGUGUGUCCUAUUUAGCUUAAAAGCAGCAAAUUACCAGGAAGAAAAUGCUAUACUUUCUGAUUCACACUUAAUCUUUUUGUGACAAAGCUUUCUGAUUUCAAUUAUAUUGCCAAGGCACUAAUUGUACCUGUGCAGAUUACCACUAAUUACUUAUAAUUUUAAAAGGCAAAAAUCACCCAUGAAUUGAAUCCAAAGCAGCAUGGAAAAUAUACUCCUGAUUAUAGGAUAUAAUCAUGAAGCGACUUCUAGGUAAUGUGUUACAUGAGUAACUUCUGACAACCGUAUCAUGAACCUGAACUCGUGCACUGAUCAUGGGCUUUAGCUAUGCCUGUCUCCUUACCAUUUAUGUAGAAAGUUUAGCUAUUGCAGGAAGCGGGAAGAGUGAACAAGCUAACAUCCUUCCAAUCACUGUGGUAAGUGCUUUACAUGCAAGGUCUAGUUUUAGAACCACCCCGUGAACGACAUAAAACUGUCCUACAUUUUCAGGUGAGGGAACAGUAGAAUUCAAGAUCUUGCCCAAAGCACCUAGCUGAAGUAAGAAUUUUUGCUUACAGAUUCUUCAACCCCACCUAAUGAAAUGCAAAUUGGCAAUCAUAAACUCUAUUGCCUACUUCCAUGUUGUAAGCAAUUAGUGCAAAAAUGAAACAAGGAAUUGCCUCUGAGCUGGUGAUUACUGCAGUCAAGGAUGGCUCCAUUCUCUAAAGGACUGAAGUCCGUUGUGCAUUCUCUCCUGUGGAGGAGCAGCGAAGGACCGGUUUCAGUAGACGGUUCUUUGAGAAACUCAGUAAGGUGUGGACAGGAGGAGAGAAAGACAAACACAUCACCAACUCUUCCAGAAGGUCCUUCCAUCCAUGCUGACUCCUUUAACCACAAGGGGGAGCCCUCAGAGUGAGUGCUGUUGUCUGACUCUUGGAUGUGGACUCCUCAAUACUGAAGAUGAACCGGUUCCAGUCUGCACCACAGCAAUUGAGGGGCAGAGCCACGUUUGUUCCCUUUCUGACUUAUCCUUUGCUGACCACACGGCUUAGCUCCUGUUAGUCCCCAUUGUGAUGGAAGGAGGGGAAUAAUGAACUGAAUAUUUCCUUAUAAGGAACGUUCUUUUCAGGUAAGAGAGGAAUCAGCCGGAUUUAUGAGCCCACACAACCUUCUGCUUCCUAGGUGCCCCCUAAAGUUGCCUUUAAAACGUCUGGAAGAGGCUUCUGCCAAAUGUUUAUCUAUAAGUUUUUAAUUUAAUAUUUUAUGUUGUCAAAAAUAGGACUUUAAGAGCUCCCACAGGCUAAGCCACUGCUCUAUCAGCAAGCCACACCUCAGCUCAUGGCUUUCCUUUGUAAAGGCUUACUUAGGUCAGUUAAUCUUUUGAAUAUGCGUAAAGCACAAGAUAGCUAUAAAAAGCAGUUCUGAGCCGGGCGUGGUGGCGCGCACCUUUAAUCCCAGCACUAGAAAGGCAGAGGCAGGUAGAUUUCUGAGUUUGAGGCCAGCCUGGUCUACAAAGUGAGUUCCAGGACAGCCAGAGCUACACAGAGAAAUCCUGUCUCAAAAAAACCA
This is a long non-coding RNA of Mus spicilegus (steppe mouse), 1785 nucleotides long. The record is from Ensembl. Lineage: Eukaryota; Metazoa; Chordata; Mammalia; Rodentia; Muridae.